Long non-coding RNA from Argentina anserina (silverweed cinquefoil), 223 nucleotides. RefSeq lists it as uncharacterized. Lineage: Eukaryota; Viridiplantae; Streptophyta; Magnoliopsida; Rosales; Rosaceae. The record is from RefSeq and is a predicted model, not a curated record. The transcript has 3 exons.
UUCCAAGUUCCAAGUUCCUGUUGUCAAUCUCUGACUGAAAGACAUGAAGUACACGACGAGCCUAUUUGUUUCGAUCCUUCUCCUGUUAUCGUCAUCCCGUUCUGCCCAGAAAAACCAGGAUUCUGAAAGUUUUGCAGCUUCAAGGCUUCUACAAGAAGAAGAGCGUCAUGAAAUACAUUUUUCCAGAGGAAGAAGUAGGGCAGCAUGGAAGAUUAUUGAGGAG